Molecule: small RNA, 125 nt
Filed under: Rhizobium sp. YS-1r
Lineage: Bacteria; Pseudomonadati; Pseudomonadota; Alphaproteobacteria; Hyphomicrobiales; Rhizobiaceae
Description: Alphaproteobacterial ar14
Rfam family: Alphaproteobacterial ar14
About the family: Smr14C2 was renamed NfeR1 (Nodule Formation Efficiency RNA) highly expressed in salt stress and during the symbiotic interaction on legume roots.
Source: Rfam by way of RNAcentral
GGAAUUCGGGCCACGCACUCCUCCUCCCAGCGUAAGCCCGAUGGGACUGGCGAUCCUCCUCCUCCCAAAUCGCCGGUCAUUACAAAUGACGCCCACCGGACCUCCUCCCCCGGUGGGCGUUAUUU